This 318-nucleotide unclassified non-coding RNA is filed under the name uncultured Rozellomycota. RNAcentral describes it as "uncultured Cryptomycota sequence contains ITS1". The stretch from base 1 to 95 matches the Rfam family "5.8S ribosomal RNA", at positions 50 to 154 of the family's 154-position model. Lineage: Eukaryota; Fungi; Rozellomycota. The record is from RNAcentral.
AAAGAGCGAUAUCUAGUGCGACACGCUCAACUGAGAGUCAUCGAGUCUUUGAACGCAACUUGCGUCCCGCAAGGGACAUGUCUGUUUGAGCACGCGCACAUAUGCUUGCUUUGCACAGCGAGCGAGUUGGGGCGCAGAGCGCUCUGGAAGACAGCAGACAGACGACGCAGUCGCCGCGGGCCAGGCGCAAGCAGUCACGGCACGGCGUUUGUCUGUAAGGCAAAGAUAGCAUUGCAUAGCAUUGCAGAGAAAGAUUGCAUAGCAUUGCAUUGCAGAACAAAGCGUCUCAAACCAGACAAGACCACCCGCUCAACUUAA